GCUGGCGGCAAAGCUGGAAAAGACAGUGGAAAGGCCAAGGCUAAAGCAGUAUCUCGUUCACAAAGAGCUGGAUUACAGUUUCCAGUGGGCCGUAUCCACCGACACUUGAAGACUCGUACCACAAGCCAUGGAAGGGUUGGUGCCACAGCAGCAGUGUAUAGUGCUGCAAUUUUGGAAUAUCUCACUGCUGAGGUAUUGGAACUGGCAGGUAAUGCUUCUAAGGAUCUCAAAGUAAAGCGUAUCACUCCACGUCAUUUGCAGCUCGCAAUCCGUGGUGAUGAAGAGUUGGAUUCUCUUAUCAAGGCUACCAUAGCUGGAGGUGGUGUGAUCCCUCAUAUCCACAAAUCACUGAUUGGAAAGAAGGGACAGCAAAAAACUGCUUAAGAGAUUUGUUUUAACCAAUCCUCUUUUCCCCUGAAUUUUAUUCUCUAACUGAGAAUAAAUAAUGGAGAUAGGUGGAAUUUUUUUAAAAGUGUUAAAUAGAAUAGCAUAGAUAGUUACUGUAGAUAUGAUACAAGAAACAUUUGUAUGUUUGUAGAUUCAGAGUUUUGCAAAAGUACUUUCAUAUGGAAACAAUUAUGUGUUGAUUGUCUAGGUUUCUCCCAUGUGUUUUAUACAAAAAUGGAAUUGAUAAAUCAUUUACAAAAUU
Molecule: long non-coding RNA, 649 nt
Organism: Elephantulus edwardii (Cape elephant shrew)
Lineage: Eukaryota; Metazoa; Chordata; Mammalia; Macroscelidea; Macroscelididae
Exons: 4
Source: RefSeq, a predicted model, not a curated record